RNAcentral lists this small RNA (815 nucleotides) under Histoplasma ohiense. RNAcentral's name for it is "hypothetical lncRNA". The record is from RNAcentral. Lineage: Eukaryota; Fungi; Ascomycota; Eurotiomycetes; Onygenales; Ajellomycetaceae.
CGCUGCUAAGCUAUCCCUCGCUGCUAAGCUAUCCCUCGCUGCUAAGCUAUCCCUCGCUGGCUAUCCCUCACUGCUAAGCUAUCCCUCACUACUAAGCUAUCUAUCGCUGCUAAUCUAUCGCUGCCAACCUAUCUAUCGCUGCCAACCUAUCUAUCGCUGCCAAUUUAUCUACCACUGUCAAUCUAUCUAUCGCUGCUAAUCUAUCGCUGCUGUCAAUCUAUCUAUCACUGCUAAUCUAUCGCUGCCAACCUAUCUAUCGCUGCCAACCUAUCUAUCCCUGCCAAUUUAUCUACCACUGCCAAUCUAUCUAUUGCUGCCAAUUUAUCUACCACUGCCAAUCUAUCUAUCACUGCUAAUCUAUCGCUGCUGUCAAUCUAUCUAUUGCUGCUAAUCUAUCUAUUGCUGCUAAUCUAUCACUGCUAAUCUAUUGCUGCUGCCAAUCUAUCUAUCGCUGCUAAUCUAUUGCUGCUAAUCUAUCGCUGCCAACCUAUCUACUGCGGCGAAUCUAUCUAUUGCUGCCAACCAACCUACCUACCACUGCCAACCUAUCUAUCGCUGUCAAUCUAUUGCUGCCAAUCUAUCGCUACCAACCUAUCUACUGCAGUGAAUCUAUCUAUCACUAUCAUUACUAGUUCAAAAUAGAACUAGAGCAUAAAUACACUAAACUUCUUUUGAUAGAUAAUGAUUUUUGAUAACACUCAUAGCAUUAUAUCAUCUAUAUAGGGUAAAUCAUGGUCCCAUUUGGUCCCAUUUUACAAAAUGGGACCAAAUGGGACCAGAAUCAGUAAUUUAUAAGAAGAACAUGACCUGGGACU